Long non-coding RNA from Felis catus (domestic cat), 594 nucleotides. RefSeq lists it as uncharacterized. The record is from RefSeq and is a predicted model, not a curated record. The transcript has 3 exons. Lineage: Eukaryota; Metazoa; Chordata; Mammalia; Carnivora; Felidae.
ACUGACGGAAGAAAGGGAAAGAGCAGACCUGAGAGGGUCCCAGGAGAUAAUCAGGACCCUAACUGCAGGAAGCAUGGUCCGGGUGAGCAGUGGCCACGCCCACGACAGGAAGCCACACCCCCAUGGCCUGAAUCCACAUCCCACAGGGAAGUUUUAACCCGCAGGCCACGCCCUGACGAUGGCUGUACCCAAACCCCACGAAACUGAACCCCACACUUCUGUCGACUCCCCAGCACUGACCUGUGACUUCAAAAUGGAUGAUCGUGGAUGGGCCAUGUCGCUCAGUGCCCAACUCGCAGCGGCCCUUCUUUGCUAACAGGCAGGCUUCAGUCUCCGCCCUGUCAAGACUCCAUCUCUCCUCUGGCUCCGCCCCUCCUGCGCCAACCCCUCCCGUUGGCCCCAGCCUCUCACCUCCGCAAUCUGUGGACUUUCGACAAAGGACCCGUUGCCCAGGAAGUCCGCUGUGCAGAAAGACUACUGGGACCAGGAACCUCUCAGACGUGGGGAAGGAAGAACCGUCGAGACCCAAAGCAGGAGGAGAAAGGCUGGGUAUUCACGGGGCAAGGAUGAGGGAUAAAAAACCACCUUCCGUAA